Acanthopagrus latus (yellowfin seabream) is the source of this 1253-nucleotide long non-coding RNA. RefSeq lists it as uncharacterized. The record is from RefSeq and is a predicted model, not a curated record. The transcript is spliced from 2 exons. Lineage: Eukaryota; Metazoa; Chordata; Actinopteri; Spariformes; Sparidae.
AAACAUGGAGGGAAACAAAACUACAGACAGAGGGAGACAGAGUGGAGAACAAAGGAGAAACUUAAAGGACAAAGAGGGGCAUGGAACAUCAAAACAAAGACACAAGGCUUGAUACAAAGACAUAAAUUCAGAGUCAUUACAACCAACUCUUAAUGAACAGAUCCAUGAGUGAUGAGUUCAGGUGUCUUUAAGGUUCUUGUUCAUAUUUUCAGCUGCUAAUUAAUGAGAGAAUUAACAGCGUCACCAGAUUCAGUGGACUAAUUAUUGGAAACAUUGAUUACUUUGAUUGAUGGACUGAUUGAAGAUGACAGAAAGCUGCUCAGAUGUUGUUGUGCAGAAAGUGUAACCCGCGGUGGCACUGAGGUCUCUGCGGCUGAACACUAUGUUCUUUUCUGUUUUUGUUCACUUCCUGUUAGAAAGGUUAACACAUACAAACAAACACACACACUGACUUCCAUUCAUUCAGACUGAGCUGACCUCAGAGGGUCUGGUGACGUCUGUCUGUGUCAGUUCAGCUGUAAAGGUUGUAAUAAUGAUCCGUGCAGCAGUCAGGUGCUCAGACACAUCAGCCUGUGCAGCUGCCUCCAUCGUGACGAUGGUGAAACCCAGUCAAAUGUUAGCAGCUGUCAGCAGGAGCCCUCACUGUCAUCAGCUUCAAUUUUAAUAUGGCUGCUCAGAGUGUUUGUCCAAGAGUUCCUGUUUGAAACCAAGUGUUGUGUUCAUCUUCUUGUUUCAGAGUGUUUCAUUUUUCUGCUAACUGUCUCACUAUCACAGGUGAUUAUCAUCGGUGAUGUCCUCACAGGGAGAUGGACACCUGCUAGCCGCCCAGUCUGCAGCAUCAGAAUACGAGACAUACAGCAGUCUGUCUGUUGACCAUCUGGUGACCGCGGUGCAGCCAGAACAACCUGGAGCUUAACGCUCUGAAGUGGAGGCAGUCGUGGACUUCAGGAAGAACCUAGCACCACCCGCCUCCAUCAUCCUGUGUGGCUCUCCAGUUGACUCUGUGGAGUCCUGCUGCUUCCUGGACACCAUCAUCACCCAGGACCUAAAACGGGAGCUGAACAUCAGAUCCCUCACCAGGGACCCCGCUGACUCUGACCAUCACACUCUUGUGUCUCUGUUUAUAUUGUUUAUAUAUUAUUGUCACUGUUUGUUUACUGUUUAUUGUCUUCAGUUUAUGAACCUUAUCCACCAAGACCAACUCCUUGCUGGUGAAAAAUACUUCUUGGUAAUAAAUCUGUUUCUGAUUCUGA